GACGAACGCUGGCGGCGUGCUUAACGCAUGCAAGUCGAACGAGGUCCAUCCAGCUUGCUGGAGAAGACCGAGUGGCGAACGGGUGAGUAACACGUGAGGAACCCACCCGAAGACCGGGAUAACCCUCCGAAAGGAGAGCUAAGUACCGGAUGCCGUCGGGGGCCGCAUGGCCUGCCGACGAAAUAGGAUUCCGCUUCGGGACGGCCUCGCGGCCUAUCAGCUAGCUGGUGAGGAACGGCCCACCAAGGCGUCGACGGGUAGCUGGUCUGAGAGGACGGUCAGCCACACUGGGACUGAGACACGGCCCAGACUCCUACGGGAGGCAGCAGCGGGGAAUAUUGCGCAAUGGGCGAAAGCCUGACGCAGCAACGCCGCGUGAGGGAU
This 384-nucleotide ribosomal RNA is filed under the name uncultured bacterium. RNAcentral's name for it is "bacterial SSU rRNA". It matches the Rfam family "Bacterial small subunit ribosomal RNA", at positions 28 to 409 of the family's 1533-position model. The record is from RNAcentral.